UUCUUCGUUCAAGAGGAGAAGACCCCGGAAUCUAACUGCAGAGGGAGAGGCGAGCAAGCAACCCAGAACUUGCUAUAAGCAUCCAGAUGAAAACCACCUAAGGUGUAAUGGACCCCUAUGGAACUUCCUGGAGAACAUAAAGAGAAGGAAAAUGUGACCUACAUUUAUUCUGUGGGAUUUGAGUAUUGUGAAUUCCUUUGUUUUCUUAUCUGGACUGGUGGCAUGAUAAAGACUCUCAUCUCAGUAGAGCAAUUUCAAGGAGAUAAAUUCUUCUCACCUUCGGUGUUUUGUAAAGAAUUUCUUAUGUGCAGCAAGAUGCCCCAGAAGAGUUUGGUUGGAAGCUGCUUCAUGGGGAAAUAUGCAGGUCUUUGA
This 372-nucleotide long non-coding RNA is filed under the name Fukomys damarensis (Damara mole-rat). RNAcentral describes it as "lncRNA (ENSFDAG00000023197.1)". Lineage: Eukaryota; Metazoa; Chordata; Mammalia; Rodentia; Bathyergidae. The record is from RNAcentral.